This 245-nucleotide unclassified non-coding RNA is filed under the name uncultured fungus. RNAcentral describes it as "sequence contains ITS2". The stretch from base 1 to 52 matches the Rfam family "5.8S ribosomal RNA", at positions 103 to 154 of the family's 154-position model. The record is from RNAcentral. Lineage: Eukaryota; Fungi.
AACGCACAUUGCGCCCGCCAGUAUUCUGGCGGGCAUGCCUGUUCGAGCGUCAUUUCAACCCUCAAGCCUGGCUUGGUGUUGGGGCAUUGCGGCUUGCCGCAAGUCCUGAAAAACAGUGGCGGGCUCGCUAUAACUCCGAGCGUAGUAACUUAUCUCGUUCUGGAAGAGUGGCGGGUGCCGGCCGUUAAACCCCCUAUUUUUACAAGGUUGACCUCGGAUCAGGUAGGAAUACCCGCUGAACUUAA